This 417-nucleotide long non-coding RNA is filed under the name Sorghum bicolor (sorghum). Its description in RNAcentral is "long non-coding RNA (SBIC_LNC013640)". Lineage: Eukaryota; Viridiplantae; Streptophyta; Magnoliopsida; Poales; Poaceae. The record is from RNAcentral.
UGGCAGGAGGUAGGAGAAACCUCUAACGGGCGGGGCCCGCCCGUCAGUGGCCUCGCGAGAGGAGCAGCACCCACGCGCGACGCGGGAAGCUCUCGGGCCGACUUGGGCCGUGGCCAAGCGGGCCAGCCGCGUUAGCACAGUGCUGCUUUCUUUUUUUUCUUUUUUGUUUAAAAAUGCUUGAUGUUUGAAUUUGUGUAGAAAAAAUUGUAUACUGAUCCAAAAAUGAUGAAAUUUUUUGAGUAGGUUCUAUAAGAUGAGUAGAAUGCAGGAAAAAUACUAGGUUCCCUUUUCUGGCAAUUUGUAUGUAUGUAAAAAUUGUAUCCUUUAAUUAGUAAAUAAAAUUUCUAUGAAUUUUAAUAAUUUAUUGAUAUGUCCAAAAAUCACCAAAAUUUAUGGGAUGCCUCUGAAUAUUAUUCC